Molecule: long non-coding RNA, 296 nt
Filed under: Brassica napus (rape)
Lineage: Eukaryota; Viridiplantae; Streptophyta; Magnoliopsida; Brassicales; Brassicaceae
Description: long non-coding RNA (BNAP_LNC007023)
Source: RNAcentral
AUUUAGGGUAUAGGAUUUAGUAUUUUGCUAAAGGUUUAACAAUAUUUAUUUAUUUUUAUUUUGUAACUAUUUUUAUGUAUUUUUAUUGUUUUGUUUGAAAAAUAUAAUCUUAUUUGGAAAUUCAAUUUUGUUUCCUUUUUUAAAAGAUAUCAAAUAUCAAAUACUCAAACACUAUUGGUUGGUGAAUCUAGAGGUUCACCCUAGGGGGUGAACCCAAGAAUUUCUCUUAAUUCACUUAGUUUAGCAUUUAUUGGCAUUACUUUGAUGUAUUCAGCAAUUACGGGUUGAAGAAUUUU